This 1132-nucleotide long non-coding RNA is filed under the name Numida meleagris (helmeted guineafowl). RNAcentral's name for it is "lncRNA (ENSNMEG00000009753.1)". Lineage: Eukaryota; Metazoa; Chordata; Aves; Galliformes; Numididae. The record is from RNAcentral.
AUGCAGCCUUCCUUUCUCAGUCAUCUCUACUACAGUCAUGAUUAUAAUAAAGCAAACAAAUGGCAGUGGGUAUUUUGGCUACCAACAUCUGUCAUGCACUGCACACAUCUCUUUUCUGCUAUGUUUUCUUUCUUCAGCUGGAUAUGUCAGGAGAAAAACGAGAAAGAUGCCUCUUUAAUACUCUUUGUGAGGCAUAUCGCAGUACCUUGGUUUAGAAACUGUUUGACCAAUCUCAGCUGAUAGUAAAGUAAAAGGACUAGUAAAGGAGGAUAGUAAAGGAGCCAUCCCUACUAGGAGAUAGAAAAGCAGCCAUUGAAACCUCAUUCUAAGGAUUACUCCAUAAAUGACUCACUGUGUCAAUACUGGAAGUAUUAUCACUUUUCUACUUGGUAUUUACACUCUCUUUGUGAUUUACAAAUCACAUGCUAUUUUCUGAACAAAUCCCAAACCCACAGAGUUCUCCAGAUGGCCAUGUGAAUGCUUCCAGUGUCAAUGCUCAUGCAAGCAAGUGUUCACACUCUUAUUUCUGAUAUUUUACUUUACACUGAACAUUUUUCUAAACAAAAAUUUGCUUUCACAAACAUUUGGAGAAUGGAAAUGAAAGGAGUUCUGCGCACUAUGGAAGCUGAUUCAUGGUUUCUAUUCAAAUAACUAUGAGUGAAGCCUUCUGAAAUGGUUACAAUCAUCAGCAUAUUCUUCUCCUCCCUAUGACCCAGUUUAAAAGAGGAAGUAUAUAUGUAACUUUAAACAUGCAAAUAGUGUCAGUUAUGCACUGAUUUACAUAUGCAAUUAUAUUUCUUGCUGACCCAGGAGCUGGAUGAUUCUUGCUCAUGUUCACCUUUUAUCUACCUUUUCCUGAAUUUUUAUUAGAAAUCUUGAAGGAUUAUGUUAAUUCUAUGUAAAGCAGUAACUUGGCAAACAUUAAUCAGUAAUUUCAAUGACAUAGCACGAGUAGGGAGAAAGUACGAGAACAAAACAAACAGAAGAACAAGACAGCAGAUACAGAAGAAAGGCAGCCAUGGAAAAUGAGCAUAAAGCCAGAAUGGCUUCCAGUGUAAGAAUAUAAAUGCAAAGUGGAUGGCCACAGGUUUUAAAAGGCUCAUCAAUAAAGAAAUUGCUUGAAAUAAUUCCA